This 696-nucleotide ribosomal RNA is filed under the name uncultured bacterium. RNAcentral's name for it is "bacterial SSU rRNA". It matches the Rfam family "Bacterial small subunit ribosomal RNA", at positions 32 to 715 of the family's 1533-position model. The record is from RNAcentral.
AACGCUAGCUACAGGCUUAACACAUGCAAGUCGAGGGGAAACGAUAGAGAAAGCUUGCUUUUUCUAGGCGUCGACCGGCGCACGGGUGAGUAACGCGUAUCCAACCUACCUCUAACUAAGGAAUAGCCCGUUGAAAGACGGAUUAAUGCCUUAUGUUCUCUUUUGCAGGCAUCUAAUGAAGAGUAAAGACUUGUUGGUUAGGGAUGGGGAUGCGUCCGAUUAGCUUGACGGUGAGGUAACGGCUCACCGUGGCGACGAUCGGUAGGGGUUCUGAGAGGAAGGUCCCCCACAUUGGAACUGAGACACGGUCCAAACUCCUACGGGAGGCAGCAGUGAGGAAUAUUGGUCAAUGGACGGAAGUCUGAACCAGCCAAGUAGCGUGCAGGAUGACGGCCCUAUGGGUUGUAAACUGCUUUUAUGUGGGGAUAAAGUUCGGGACGUGUCCUGAUUUGCAGGUACCGCAUGAAUAAGGACCGGCUAAUUCCGUGCCAGCAGCCGCGGUAAUACGGAAGGUCCGGGCGUUAUCCGGAUUUAUUGGGUUUAAAGGGAGCGUAGGCUGGAGAUUAAGCGUGUUGUGAAAUGCCGCGGCUCAACCGUGGCACUGCAGCGCGAACUGGUUUCCUUGAGUGCGCUGAAAGUGGGCGGAAUUUGUGGUGUAGCGGUGAAAUGCUUAGAUAUCACGAAGAACUCCGAUUG